Molecule: non-coding RNA, 45 nt
Filed under: Schistosoma haematobium
Lineage: Eukaryota; Metazoa; Platyhelminthes; Trematoda; Strigeidida; Schistosomatidae
Source: RNAcentral
ACCCAGCUGACGGGUCCCAACUCGGACGAAACGCGCAUCCUGGAU